This 433-nucleotide ribosomal RNA is filed under the name uncultured bacterium. RNAcentral's name for it is "bacterial SSU rRNA". It matches the Rfam family "Bacterial small subunit ribosomal RNA", at positions 355 to 796 of the family's 1533-position model. The record is from RNAcentral.
UCGAGGAUCUUCGGCAAUGGGCGCAAGCCUGACCGAGCGACGCCGCGUGUGCGAAGAAGGCCUUCGGGUUGUAAAGCACUGUCGGGGGGGAGAAAGCCCGCAAGGGUUGAUCGACCCCCGGAGGAAGCACGGGCUAAGUUCGUGCCAGCAGCCGCGGUAAGACGAACCGUGCGAACGUUGUUCGGAUUCACUGGGCUUAAAGGGCGCGUAGGCGGGGGACCCAGUCGGUGGUGAAAUCGUCCGGCCCAACCGGACAACCGCCUCCGAUACUGGUCCCCUUGAGGGGGGUAGGGGCAUGCGGAACUUCGGGUGGAGCGGUGAAAUGCGUAGAUAUCCGAAGGAACGCCGGUGGCGAAAGCGGCGUGCUGGACCCUUUCUGACGCUGAGGCGCGAAAGCCAGGGGAGCAAACGGGAUUAGAUACCCCCGUAGUCC